GGGACCCGUCUUGAAACACGGACCAAGGAGUCUAGCAUGUGCGCGAGUCAUUGGGACUCUAACUAAACCUAAAGGCGAAAUGAAAGUGAAGGUCCGCCCUGCGCGGACCUAGGGAGGAUGGGCGAUCCUGAGGGGUCGUCCGGCACUCCCGGGGCGUCUCGUUCUCAUCGCGAGAAGAGGCGCACCCAGAGCGUACACGCUGGGACCCGAAAGAUGGUGAACUAUGCCUGGUCAGGACGAAGUCAGGGGAAACCCUGAUGGAGGUCCGUAGCGAUUCUGACGUGCAAAUCGAUCGUCGGAACUGGGUAUAGGGGCGAAAGACUAAUCGAACCAUCUAGUAGCUGGUUCCCUCCGAAGUUUCCCUCAGGAUAGCUGGCGCUCGCUUUUCGCGAGUCUCAUUCGGUAAAGCGAAUGAUUAGAGGCAUUGGGGUCGAAACGGCCUCAACCUAUUCUCAAACUUUAAAUGGGUGAGAUCUCCGGCUUGCUUGAACUGUGAAGCCGCGAGAUAUCGGAUCAGAGUGCCAAGUGGGCCACUUUUGGUAAGCAGAACUGGCGCUGUGGGAUGAACCAAACGCUGAGUUAAAGCGCCUAAAUCGACGCUUAUGGGAUACCAUGAAAGGCGUUGGUAACUUAAGACAGCAGGACGGUGGCCAUGGAAGUCGGAAUCCGCUAAGGAGUGUGUAAA
Molecule: ribosomal RNA, 685 nt
Filed under: Isonychus sp. BMNH 670885
Lineage: Eukaryota; Metazoa; Arthropoda; Insecta; Coleoptera; Scarabaeidae
Description: eukaryotic LSU rRNA
Rfam family: Eukaryotic large subunit ribosomal RNA
Source: RNAcentral